GACGAACGCUGGCGGCGUGCCUAAUACAUGCAAGUUGAGCGAUGAAGAUUGGUGCUUGCACCAAUUUGAAGAGCAGCGAACGGGUGAGUAACGCGUGGGGAAUCUGCCUCUGAGCGGGGGACAACAUUUGGAAACGAAUGCUAAUACCGCAUAACAACUUUAAACAUAAGUUUUAAGUUUGAAAGAUGCAAUUGCAUCACUCAAAGAUGAUCCCGCGUUGUAUUAGCUAGUUGGUGAGGUAAAGGCUCACCAAGGCGAUGAUACAUAGCCGACCUGAGAGGGUGAUCGGCCACAUUGGGACUGAGACACGGCCCAAACUCCUACGGGAGGCAGCAGUAGGGAAUCUUCGGCAAUGGACGAAAGUCUGACCGAGCAACGCCGCGUGAGUGAAGAAGGGUUUCGGAUCGUAAAACUCUGUUGGUAGAGAAGAACGUUGGUGAGAGUGGAAAGCUCAUCAAGUGACGGUAACUACCCAGAAAGGGACGGCUAACUACGUG
RNAcentral lists this ribosomal RNA (497 nucleotides) under uncultured bacterium. RNAcentral's name for it is "partial 16S ribosomal RNA". It matches the Rfam family "Bacterial small subunit ribosomal RNA", at positions 28 to 507 of the family's 1533-position model. The record is from RNAcentral.